CAACUUUUCUAAUUGGCCUUUUCUUUCAGAUAUUUGAUCAAGUAUAGUAAAAUUAUACCACAGGUUCCAAAUUCUAAUCUGAUUGAGCUCGCCAAAAAAUUGGAACACGUUGCUGAGAAAUGCUGUAAUUUAGAUGGUGAUCAACAAGUCUCAUGUGCUUUAGACAAUACGGAUAAAGUGAUAGGAUCUAUUUGUAAAUGUCACAAAGGACAUUACCUA
Non-coding RNA from Thamnophis sirtalis, 219 nucleotides. The record is from RefSeq and is a predicted model, not a curated record. Lineage: Eukaryota; Metazoa; Chordata; Lepidosauria; Squamata; Natricidae.